RNAcentral lists this ribosomal RNA (254 nucleotides) under uncultured prokaryote. RNAcentral's name for it is "partial 16S ribosomal RNA". It matches the Rfam family "Bacterial small subunit ribosomal RNA", at positions 524 to 776 of the family's 1533-position model. The record is from RNAcentral.
UACGGGGGGGGGUAAGCGUUGUUCGGAAUUACUGGGCGUAAAGGGCUCGUAGGCGGCCAACUAAGUCAGACGUGAAAUCCCUCAGCUUAACUGGGGAACUGCGUCUGAUACUGGAUGGCUUGGAUUCGGGAGAGGAAUGCGGAAUUCCAGGUGUAGCGGUGAAAUGCGUAGAUAUCUGGAGGAACACCGGUGGCGAAGGCGGCAUCCUGGACCACGACUGACGCUGAGGAGCGAAAGCCAGGGGAGCAAACGGG